Molecule: transfer RNA, 74 nt
Filed under: Patescibacteria group bacterium
Lineage: Bacteria
Also listed under: 2 other names
Description: tRNA-Cys
Rfam family: tRNA
About the family: Transfer RNA (tRNA) molecules are approximately 80 nucleotides in length.
Source: RNAcentral
GGUCCAGUAGCCAAGCGGUAAGGCAACGGUCUGCAAAACCGUUAUCACCGGUUCGAUUCCGGUCUGGACCUCCA